This 637-nucleotide ribosomal RNA is filed under the name Sphaerellopsis melampsorinearum. RNAcentral describes it as "Sphaerellopsis sp. PAGZ-2023a partial large subunit ribosomal RNA". It matches the Rfam family "Eukaryotic large subunit ribosomal RNA", at positions 170 to 826 of the family's 3401-position model. Lineage: Eukaryota; Fungi; Ascomycota; Dothideomycetes; Pleosporales; Leptosphaeriaceae. The record is from RNAcentral.
UUGGCAGCGGUCCAAGUUCCUUGGAACAGGACGUCACAGAGGGUGAGAAUCCCGUACGUGGUCGCUAGCCUCCGCCGUGUAAAGCCCCUUCGACGAGUCGAGUUGUUUGGGAAUGCAGCUCUAAAUGGGAGGUAAAUUUCUUCUAAAGCUAAAUACUGGCCAGAGACCGAUAGCGCACAAGUAGAGUGAUCGAAAGAUGAAAAGCACUUUGGAAAGAGAGUCAAAUAGCACGUGAAAUUGUUGAAAGGGAAGCGCUUGCAGCCAGACUUGCCUGUAGUUGCUCAUCCGGGCUUUUGCCCGGUGCACUCUUCUACAGGCAGGCCAGCAUCAGUUUGGGCGGUUGGAUAAAGGUCUCUAUCACGUACCUCUCUUCGGGGAGGCCUUAUAGGGGAGACGACAUGCAACCAGCCUGGACUGAGGUCCGCGCAUUUGCUAGGAUGCUGGCGUAAUGGCUGUAAGCGGCCCGUCUUGAAACACGGACCAAGGAGUCUAACAUCUAUGCGAGUGUUUGGGUGUCAAGCCCGAGCGCGUAAUGAAAGUGAACGGAGGUGGGAACCCUUUGGGUGCACCAUCGACCGAUCCUGAUGUCUUCGGAAGGAUUUGAGUAAGAGCAUGGCUGUUGGGACCCGAAAGAUGG